AUUCGUCAAAGUUUACUUUGACUUAGUGGCGGACGGGUGAGUAAUGUAUGAGCAACCUGCCUUUCAGUGGGGGACAACAGUUGGAAACGACUGCUAAUACCGCAUGAUGUCAAUUGGGGGCAUCCCCGAAUGACCAAAGGAUUUAUUCGCUGAAAGAUGGGCUCAUAUCUGAUUAGAUAGUUGGUGAGGUAACGGCUCACCAAGUCGACGAUCGGUAGCCGGACUGAGAGGUUGAACGGCCACAUUGGGACUGAGACACGGCCCAGACUCC
Molecule: ribosomal RNA, 271 nt
Filed under: uncultured bacterium
Lineage: Bacteria
Description: partial 16S ribosomal RNA
Rfam family: Bacterial small subunit ribosomal RNA
Source: RNAcentral